AUUGAACGCUGGCGGCAGGCCUAACACAUGCAAGUCGAACGGUAACAGGAAGCAGCUUGCUGCUUCGCUGACGAGUGGCGGACGGGUGAGUAAUGUCUGGGAAGCUGCCUGAUGGAGGGGGAUAACUACUGGAAACGGUAGCUAAUACCGCAUAAUGUCGCAAGACCAAAGAGGGGGACCUUCGGGCCUCUUGCCAUCGGAUGUGCCCAGAUGGGAUUAGCUUGUUGGUGGGGUAACGGCUCACCAAGGCGACGAUCGCUAGCUGGUCUGAGAGGAUGACCAGCCACACUGGGACUGAGACACGGUCCAGACUCCUACGGGAGGCAGCAGUGGGGAAUAUUGCACAAUGGGCGCAAGCCUGAUGCAGCCAUGCCGCGUGUAUGAAGAAGGCCUUCGGGUUGUAAAGUACUUUCAGCGGGGAGGAAGGGAGUAAAGUUAAUACCUUUGCUCAUUGACGUUACCCGCAGAAGAAGCACCGGCUAACUCCGUG
Molecule: ribosomal RNA, 490 nt
Filed under: uncultured bacterium
Lineage: Bacteria
Description: partial 16S ribosomal RNA
Rfam family: Bacterial small subunit ribosomal RNA
Source: RNAcentral